This is a long non-coding RNA of Sapajus apella (tufted capuchin), 154 nucleotides long. RefSeq lists it as uncharacterized. The transcript has 3 exons. The record is from RefSeq and is a predicted model, not a curated record. NCBI's taxonomy places the organism in Eukaryota, Metazoa, Chordata, Mammalia, Primates, Cebidae.
UUUGUAAACUGUCAUGGCGCUGGUGGGAGUACAGCAGUGAGGAGGACCUGAAGUCACUUUUGUCACCAUCUUGGUUUUGGUGGGUUUUGGCUGGCUUCUUUACUGCAUCCUGUCUUGUCAGCAGGUUCUGUAUGACUUGUGUCUUCUGAUACUG